This 468-nucleotide ribosomal RNA is filed under the name uncultured bacterium. RNAcentral's name for it is "partial 16S ribosomal RNA". It matches the Rfam family "Bacterial small subunit ribosomal RNA", at positions 28 to 507 of the family's 1533-position model. The record is from RNAcentral.
GACGAACGCUGGCGGCGUGCUUAACACAUGCAAGUCGAACGGAAAGGCCCUGCUUUUGUGGGGUGCUCGAGUGGCGAACGGGUGAGUAACACGUGAGUAACCUGCCCUUGACUUUGGGAUAACUUCAGGAAACUGGGGCUAAUACCGGAUAGGAGCUCCUGCUGCAUGGUGGGGGUUGGAAAGUUUCGGCGGUUGGGGAUGGACUCGCGGCUUAUCAGCUUGUUGGUGGGGUAGUGGCUUACCAAGGCUUUGACGGGUAGCCGGCCUGAGAGGGUGACCGGCCACAUUGGGACUGAGAUACGGCCCAGGCUCCUACGGGAGGCAGCAGUGGGGAAUAUUGCACAAUGGGCGGAAGCCUGAUGCAGUAACGCCGCGUGCGGGAUGACGGCCUUCGGGUUGUAAACCGCUUUCGCCUGUGACGAAGCGUGAGUGACGGUAAUGGGUAAAGAAGCACCGGCUAACUACGUG